This 274-nucleotide ribosomal RNA is filed under the name uncultured bacterium. Its description in RNAcentral is "partial 16S ribosomal RNA". It matches the Rfam family "Bacterial small subunit ribosomal RNA", at positions 523 to 796 of the family's 1533-position model. The record is from RNAcentral.
AUACGGAGGGUCCAAGCGUUAUCCGGAAUCAUUGGGUUUAAAGGGUCCGUAGGCGGACAAUUAAGUCAGAGGUGAAAGCCCACAGCUCAACUGUGGAACUGCCUUUGAUACUGGUUGUCUUGAAUUGUAGUGAAGUAGAUAGAAUAUGUAGUGUAGCGGUGAAAUGCAUAGAUAUUACAUAGAAUACCGAUUGCGAAGGCAGUCUACUAACUAUAUAUUGACGCUGAUGGACGAAAGCGUGGGGAGCGAACAGGAUUAGAAACCCUAGUAGUCC